AAAGAACGAAAACACGAAGAAAACGGACUCAAACAACUAAUUCACAACUAAGUAGGUGAUUACUAGUUGUUAAUUAGUUCUAGAAUCAGGAAAUGAAACUAAAGAAACAAGGAAAUGAAACUUAGAAUCUGAAAUUUGAGCUUAAGCUUUUUGGGUGAAGUGAUGAUGUGGCAGCCCUUGGUGAUGACGUGGCAGCCUUUGGUUGGUUGAUGUUUUGAAA
RNAcentral lists this long non-coding RNA (220 nucleotides) under Capsicum annuum. RNAcentral's name for it is "long non-coding RNA (CANN_LNC011330)". The record is from RNAcentral. Lineage: Eukaryota; Viridiplantae; Streptophyta; Magnoliopsida; Solanales; Solanaceae.